GACGGAGGGUGCAAGCGUUGCUCGGAUUUACUGGGCGUAAAGGGCGCGUAGGCGGCUUGGUAAGUCUGAUGUGAAAGCCCACGACUCAAUCGUGGAAGUGCAUUGGAUACUGCUAGGCUAGAAUGCAGGAGAGGUGAGCGGAAUUCCAGGUGUAGAGGUGAAAUUCGUAGAUAUCUGGAGGAACAACGGUGGCGAAGGCGGCUCACUGGACUGAUAUUGACGCUGAGGCGCGAAAUUGUGGGGAGCAAACGGG
This 253-nucleotide ribosomal RNA is filed under the name uncultured bacterium. Its description in RNAcentral is "partial 16S ribosomal RNA". It matches the Rfam family "Bacterial small subunit ribosomal RNA", at positions 524 to 776 of the family's 1533-position model. The record is from RNAcentral.